RNAcentral lists this small nucleolar RNA (123 nucleotides) under Carlito syrichta (Philippine tarsier). RNAcentral's name for it is "Small nucleolar RNA SNORA69 (ENSTSYG00000019636.2)". It matches the Rfam family "Small nucleolar RNA SNORA69". From Rfam's summary of the family: U69 is a member of the H/ACA class of small nucleolar RNAs (snoRNAs) which act as guides in the the modification of uridines to pseudouridines. Lineage: Eukaryota; Metazoa; Chordata; Mammalia; Primates; Tarsiidae. The record is from Rfam by way of RNAcentral.
AAUGUUAGUUUUUAAAAGUGCUUCAUUUUGUGGAAGUACUAUCUGCUGAAAGAAAAGCUGUGAUAAUCACUUGUGACUUUGCCUUUUUGAGGGUAAAGUCAUAAUAGAUUGACAUGGUCAAUU